RNAcentral lists this unclassified non-coding RNA (251 nucleotides) under Hevea brasiliensis (rubber tree). The record is from RNAcentral. Lineage: Eukaryota; Viridiplantae; Streptophyta; Magnoliopsida; Malpighiales; Euphorbiaceae.
AAAAAAAAAAAAAAUCCUUAUCCUUUAAGGAUUUGAACUCCAAAAAAGUAAACAGUAACCUUUAAGGAAUCUAAAAGUAAUCCUUAACCAACAAGGACUCUAAAUAAAGGCUCCUAUAGAAAUCUGGAUCUUUCCUGUAAAUAUGGAAUUACAAAACUACCCCUGUGACUUAAAUAAAGGACCAGCAACUAGUAUUUUAAAUAGACACAUAAGUAAAAAUCUAAAAGAACUAGAAAGUACUCUAUAAUUUC